Long non-coding RNA from Sinocyclocheilus anshuiensis, 221 nucleotides. RefSeq lists it as uncharacterized. Lineage: Eukaryota; Metazoa; Chordata; Actinopteri; Cypriniformes; Cyprinidae. The record is from RefSeq and is a predicted model, not a curated record. The transcript has 3 exons.
CACAUGAUCUGAUGGUGGUUUAUUUGUUCAGGACGGGCGUCUGAUAGCAGAUCCAUCAGAUCCUCAAACACUGAAUGAUCCUGCGACGGCUGUAAAAUCUGAUCGUCUCGUCACGUCUCGCUGUGUGAAUCUGAAGCAUGAGAUCAUCUGUGAUGCUUCAGGAUUCAGACUGGACACCAUGUUCAGAGCGAGGAAUGAAACUGCAGCAGCUCCAGACUCAG